Molecule: ribosomal RNA, 508 nt
Filed under: Rhinella granulosa (granular toad)
Lineage: Eukaryota; Metazoa; Chordata; Amphibia; Anura; Bufonidae
Description: partial large subunit ribosomal RNA
Rfam family: Bacterial large subunit ribosomal RNA
Source: RNAcentral
AGGUAGCGUAAUCACUUGUUCUUUAAAUGUGGACUAGUAUGAACGGCUUCACGAAGGUUAUACUGUCUCCUUUUUCUAAUCAGUGAAACUAAUCUCCCCGUGAAGAAGCGGGGAUAAAGCUAUAAGACGAGAAGACCCUAUGGAGCUUAAAACGACACAGCACUUACCAAAAAUUUUUAAUGUUUCUGUAACACUAAUUCUUUAAAGUAAAAUGACUGCAAGUUUUCGGUUGGGGUGACCACGGAGUAUAUCAUAACCUCCAUGUUGAAAGAAUUUCUUUCUAAGCCAAGAAUAACCAAUCUAAGCAUUAACAAAUUAACAUCUAUUGACCCAAUAAAUUUGAUCAACGAACCAAGUUACCCUAGGGAUAACAGCGCAAUCCACUUCAAGAGCUCCUAUCGACAAGUGGGUUUACGACCUCGAUGUUGGAUCAGGGUAUCCCAGUGGUGCAGCCGCUACUAAAGGUUCGUUUGUUCAACGAUUAAAAACCCUACGUGAUCUGAGUUCA